This is a small nuclear RNA of Sorex fumeus (smoky shrew), 138 nucleotides long. RefSeq annotates it as U4 spliceosomal RNA. The transcript has a single exon. Lineage: Eukaryota; Metazoa; Chordata; Mammalia; Eulipotyphla; Soricidae. The record is from RefSeq and is a predicted model, not a curated record.
AGUCGUCUGCGUGUGGCAGUAUCGUAGCCAAUGAGGUUUAUCUGAGGCGCGAUUAUUGCUAAUUGAAAAAUAUACAUUACAGUUUAAUAUUAGCAAUAUCUAUGGUCUUUAUUUAGGAGUUUGUUCCUGCUUUUGUGG